AACGCACGAGACCUGCGGACCUGCGGAGGGAUCAUUAAUGAGAAACUGCCCCUCGCGGGUAGAUCUCCCACCCUUUGUAAACUUACCUUUGUUGCUUUGGCAGGCCCGUCUCCGGACCGCUGGCUUCGGCUGGCCAGUGCCUGCCAGAGGAUUCUAAAACUCUGUCUGUCAGUGUUGUCUGAGUCUAUAUACAAUCGUUAAAACUUUCAACAACGGAUCUCUAGAUCGGAAGAGCACACG
RNAcentral lists this unclassified non-coding RNA (240 nucleotides) under soil metagenome. RNAcentral's name for it is "partial contains 5.8S ribosomal RNA, internal transcribed spacer 2, and large subunit ribosomal RNA". The record is from RNAcentral.